UACGUAGGGGGCGAGCGUUGUCCGGAUUUACUGGGCGUAAAGCGCACGUAGGCGGCUUUGUAAGUUAGAGGUGAAAGCCCAGAGCUCAACUCUGGAACUGCCUUUAAGACUGCAUCGCUUGAAUUGUGGAGAGGUAAGUGGAAUUCCGAGUGUAGAGGUGAAAUUCGUAGAUAUUCGGAAGAACACCAGUGGCGAAGGCGACUUACUGGACACAUAUUGACGCUGAGGUGCGAAAGCGUGGGGAGCAAACAGG
This 253-nucleotide ribosomal RNA is filed under the name uncultured bacterium. RNAcentral's name for it is "partial 16S ribosomal RNA". It matches the Rfam family "Bacterial small subunit ribosomal RNA", at positions 524 to 776 of the family's 1533-position model. The record is from RNAcentral.